This 537-nucleotide ribosomal RNA is filed under the name uncultured bacterium. RNAcentral's name for it is "bacterial SSU rRNA". It matches the Rfam family "Bacterial small subunit ribosomal RNA", at positions 384 to 929 of the family's 1533-position model. The record is from RNAcentral.
UGAUGCAGCGACGCCGCGUGGGGGAUGACGGCCUUCGGGUUGUAAACUCCUUUCGCUAGGGACGAAGCUUUUUGUGACGGUACCUAGAUAAGAAGCACCGGCUAACUACGUGCCAGCAGCCGCGGUAAUACGUAGGGUGCGAGCGUUGUCCGGAAUUACUGGGCGUAAAGGGCUCGUAGGUGGUUUGUCGCGUCGUCUGUGAAAUUCCGGGGCUUAACUCCGGGCGUGCAGGCGAUACGGGCAUAACUUGAGUACUGUAGGGGUAACUGGAAUUCCUGGUGUAGCGGUGAAAUGCGCAGAUAUCAGGAGGAACACCGAUGGCGAAGGCAGGUUACUGGGCAGUUACUGACGCUGAGGAGCGAAAGCAUGGGUAGCGAACAGGAUUAGAUACCCUGGUAGUCCAUGCCGUAAACGGUGGGCGCUAGGUGUGAGGGUCUUUUCACGACUUUCGUGCCGUAGCUAACGCAUUAAGCGCCCCGCCUGGGGAGUACGGCCGCAAGGCUAAAACUCAAAGGAAUUGACGGGGGCCCGCACAAG